ACCAGGAGUGGAGCUUGCGGCUCAAUUUGACUCAACACGGGAAAUCUUACCAGGUCCAGACAUAGCGAGGAUUGACAGAUUGAUAGCUCUUUCUUGAUUCUAAUGGGUAUUUUGGUGGUGCAUGGCCGUUCUUAGUUCGUGGAGUGAUUCGUCUGGUUAAUUCCGUUAAAACGAACGAGACCUCAGCCUGCUAAAUAGUUGCUCGCCUUUUCUAUAAGACUUGACAACUUCUUAGAGGGACUUUGUGUAGCAACCACAAGGAAGUUUGAGGCAAUAACAGGUCUGUGAUGCCCUUAGAUGUCCUGGGCCGCACGCGUGCUACACUGAUACGUACAACGAGGUAUAUGUACUUGUACAUCAAUGCUGCUCCGAAAUAGACGAGCUUAAUCUUAUAAAUACGUAUCGUGCUGCGGAUAGAUCGUUGAAAUUAAUGAAUCUUGAAGGUGGAAUUCCUAGUAAGCGCACGUCACUAACGUGCGUUGAUUACGU
RNAcentral lists this ribosomal RNA (489 nucleotides) under uncultured eukaryote. RNAcentral's name for it is "SSU rRNA". It matches the Rfam family "Eukaryotic small subunit ribosomal RNA", at positions 1169 to 1650 of the family's 1831-position model. The record is from RNAcentral.